This 468-nucleotide ribosomal RNA is filed under the name uncultured bacterium. RNAcentral's name for it is "partial 16S ribosomal RNA". It matches the Rfam family "Bacterial small subunit ribosomal RNA", at positions 28 to 507 of the family's 1533-position model. The record is from RNAcentral.
GACGAACGCUGGCGGCGUGCUUAACACAUGCAAGUCGAACGGACAGGCCCUGCUUUUGUGGGGUGCUCGAGUGGCGAACGGGUGAGUAACACGUGAGUAACCUGUCCUUGACUUUGGGAUAACUUCAGGAAACUGGGGCUAAUACCGGAUAGGAGCUCUUGCUGCAUGGUGGGGGUUGGAAAGUUUCGGCGGUUGGGGAUGGACUCGCGGCUUAUCAGCUUGUUGGUGGGGUAGUGGCUUACCAAGGCUUUGACGGGUAGCCGGCCUGAGAGGGGGACCGGCCACAUUAGGACUGAGAUACGGCCCAGACUCCUACGGGAGGCAGCAGUGGAGAAUAUUGCACAGUGGGCGGAAGCCAGAUGCAGCGACGCCGCGUGCGGGAUAACGGCCUUCGGGUUGUAAACCACUUUCGCCUGUGACGAGGCGUGAGUGACGGUAAUGGGUAAAGAAGCACCGGCUAACUACGUG